UGAACACUUCUUAGAUCCACCUCUGGAGGGUGCGCCUGUGCUGGUGCUGUCGUCUCCGAACGCUGCAGCUUCAGCCCAGAGGCUCUCAGCAGCUUUCUGGCUGUACAGUCGGAGGUGUUUUAGUCAUUGGUGUUGUAGAGCAGUCUACCUGCCUCCACAGCCCUCCUUCUGCACUGGCAACUCUGUUAUACUGAUGGGAAUCAACCAGUGCAGCUUGGCUGGGAGGUGGACAAC
RNAcentral lists this small nucleolar RNA (234 nucleotides) under Salmo salar (Atlantic salmon). RNAcentral's name for it is "Small nucleolar RNA SNORA53 (ENSSSAG00000073850.2, ENSSSAG00070038283.1)". It matches the Rfam family "Small nucleolar RNA SNORA53". From Rfam's summary of the family: The snoRNA ACA53 belongs to the H/ACA family of pseudouridylation guide snoRNAs. Lineage: Eukaryota; Metazoa; Chordata; Actinopteri; Salmoniformes; Salmonidae. The record is from Rfam by way of RNAcentral.